UACGUAGGUGGCAAGCGUUGCCCGGAAUUAUUGGGCGUAAAGCGCGCGCAGGCGGUCCUUUAAGUCUGAUGUGAAAGCCCACGGCUCAACCGUGGAGGGUCAUUGGAAACUGGGGGACUUGAGUGCAGAAGAGGAGAGUGGAAUUCCACGUGUAGCGGUGAAAUGCGUAGAGAUGUGGAGGAACACCAGUGGCGAAGGCGGCAUCCUGGCCCUGACCUGACGCUGAGGCGCGAUAGCGUGGGGAGCAAACGGG
Molecule: ribosomal RNA, 253 nt
Filed under: uncultured bacterium
Lineage: Bacteria
Description: partial 16S ribosomal RNA
Rfam family: Bacterial small subunit ribosomal RNA
Source: RNAcentral